GCCGAGCCGGCAAGGUAGACGGGUCUGCGGGCAUCAUGGGCUGGCUGCCACCUCCUGCCAUUUCACAAUCCUCUGAGAUCAGGUGUCACUCUUGGCCCUGGUGGGAACCAGGAACCUAAUCAGCUUCCAGGCCAGCGCAGCUCGACCAGCUGCAGCCGGACCCUGGUCCACUCCUCCCUUCCCUCCUUCCUCCUGGUGCCUGAGGGCAGGACCGCGGUAGGAGAGGAUCAGACCUAGGACUUCUGGAUUCCCAUUCCAAGACUCUGGGGUCUCCCCAUAAUGCCCAGGGACGGACGGGGGACUAGGGGGAAAAGGCAAGGCCCACAAGGAGGCAGUAGAGCCUGGAGAUUAAGUGGUUGAAUUUGUGGUCAGCCAGAGCAGCGCAGAUCCCUCUUCGGGGAUUAAUGAUGGAGGGAUAGUAGUAGCGAGUAGAGAAAAAGCAGUUGUUAUGAAUAAAUGAACCCAUUUGACACAAGAAACUGAGGCCCAUGAAGGUGAAACACCUGUUAACGGUCUCCAGCUGUUUUUGGUGUGUUUCUCUCUUUCUCUUGUCCACACCCGGCCUCUAUCUGUGCUCAGUGCCUCAUGGAUCUUCCCAGCAAACCUCUGGACAGAGAGUAACUAUUGUCAUUAGCUGUAUGUGAUGGAUGAACUGGGUUUCAGAGAUUUAGACCCCACCCCAGCAAAGCUGUAGAGACCAGGUUUUGAAUCCGUGUAUCUUCCAAGCCCUUGUUUUUUCCAUUCCAUCAUAAGUAUUCUCUAGAUGCCGACUAUGUGACACAUAUAGGGCAAGACGCUUGGUUUAGAGAAAGUAAUCGAAGGGGCCCUCCAGCACUGGCCUUGGGGUGACAGGGUCUGGGUUUGACCUCCAUGUCCACCACUUUUCAGCUGAGGGAACUUGAAGAAUAAAUCGCUUCCCUAUUCUGCGCUGUCAUUUUAUUAUCUACAAAGUUGAUGAUCAUAUCAGAAUUCAACAAGAACACAAAUGUAAAGUCUUUGCCGUAGGCUAGCUGUGUACUUCUUUUUUUUUUUUAAGAUACCUUUUUUCUCCUGACCGGGAAACGAACCCGGGCCGCGGUGGUGAGAGCGCUGAAUCCUAACCAUUAGCUGUGUACUCUUUGAGGGCUAAGUCAGCAUGAUUGGUGUAGGAACCCCAGCCUUGAUACAUAAUGGAUAAAUGGUGAAAUACUAUUACUAAAGAGACCAAUAAAUAUAUAUGUCAAGCAUUAGAAUCCAGGCUGGCCAAUGCCAAAACAGAGUUACCCCGGGAGUUAGACAGGAAAUACUUUCAAACAUUUCAAACAAACAAGCCAAGGUUCUAUAAGCCCCAGAGGUCUUUGUUGCUGAAAGUUAGAGAGGGUCUGGGGCAGUGACCGUUGGAAUGGCAGGUAAAUAGAGCUCACCUCCAGCCUCUGUCCCCACAGAUGGAGCCUGUAAAAGAAGCUGAGAAUGCCUCUCCCAGCUUCCCAUGCCCAGCCUGGAACCGGAGACAUGCCGAUGUUGGGAGGAGCCAGGACUAUUUGCUCUGAGCUCAGAGAAGUCAACAGCAAUGAAGCAGGAGCCAGGUGGGGGCACCACAACUGGGCAGGCUCCUGAAACUCAGUCUAGGGCACGCAGAGGACGUUUUGGUGAGCAACCGGUUUUAGCCUGUAGACUGGGCUGACUACUGGACAUUCAACCUUAGGCACUGCUGCCCACAGCUUUCUUCUGGGACUUACCCAGCUCCUCAGGUGAGGAAACUAUCCAGCCUCAUUUCUUCCCAACGCUCAAGGGCUCCCCUGCUUACUGGCUGUCUUUUACAGGAAUGGGGAUUAGUCUGAGGCUGAAGGGAUGGGGUGGGGCAGAGGAUGGAGAAGAAAGUUUCAUCAGUCAAUGUCCCUUGGCAUGAAAAAAAACACUCUGCUUUUAUAAUGCUUGGCUUUGUUCUAGGGACAUUCACAUGUUUUCUCUUCUACGUAACUGUUAAAAAGGAUGAAGGCUUUAGAAGUGAGUACAGUUCAGGUCCAAAUCCAGGGCUGACUACUUCCUGGCUAUGUGACUUAGAGCAAUACUUCACUUUUUGGACCUACAUCUCCUUCCAUAAAAGAGAUCCUUCAGGGCACAACCCAAUUCGCCAGAGCUCGAAACCACAGAACCCCUCGUGGUUACCUCGUCCCCCUGCAUACCAUCUCUGUGUGCUGUAAAGGUUAAUUAACUGUCCUGUACCCAUCAGUGUAAAGGAAGUAUGUGUUCCUCCAUUUUACUUUUUAUCCAAUCCCGGAGAUUUCCCCGCUGCUUCGCUUUCUCCCGCCCCCUUUAUCUACCACCAAUGAAUUUCCUGUAACCCUCCCUAUGCCUCCUCCUUUGAUUCUAAUGGAUAAAAUUAGCUACGAAACUGCCAUUCUCUGGAGCAUUUUCUUAAUUCGUUGAGAGUUUGCUUCCUGGAAAUUAUUGUCAGUUUGGCUCAAAUAAAUGCAUUAAAAUGC
Molecule: long non-coding RNA, 2465 nt
Organism: Pteropus alecto (black flying fox)
Lineage: Eukaryota; Metazoa; Chordata; Mammalia; Chiroptera; Pteropodidae
Exons: 2
Source: RefSeq, a predicted model, not a curated record